UUAUCUCUGUAGAGUCUGCAUAUCAAUAAGCGGAGGAAAAGAAACUAACUAGGAUUCCCUCAGUAACGGCGAGUGAAGCGGGAAGAGCUCAAAUUUGAAAUCUUCAAGGUUCUACCUUGACGAAUUGUAGUUUAAAGAAGUGUUUUCUGUUGGAGUUUUGGUAAAAGUUCUUUGGAAUAGGACAUCAUAGAGGGUGAGAAUCCCGUAUUUGACCAUUAUUUCCAGCUUUGUGAUACACUUUCAAAGAGUCGGAUUGUUUGGGAAUGCAGUCCAAAAUGGGUGGUAAAUUUCAUCUAAAGCUAAAUACUGGCGAGAGACCGAUAGCGAACAAGUACCGUGAGGGAAAGAUGAAAAGAACUUUGAAAAGAGAGUUAAACAGUACGUGAAAUUGUCAAAAGGGAAGCGUUUGACACCAGUGUUGUUUUCUCGAAAAUCAAUUAAAAAAGGCAGGAUUUUGUGUUGUAUUGACUUUAUCAGCUUUCUGCACUCUUUUCCUGCUUUUUUUAAUGCACUUUUCGUUUAACAAGUCAACAUCAGUUUCUUUUGUUGUAAAAGGGUCAUUGGAAGGUGGCUUUCUUUUCGGAGAAAGUGUUUAUAGCCUUUGAUCUCUGCAAUCGGAGAGACUGAGGUCUGCAGCGUAGAUCCUUCGGGGUUAGAUACAUUUGUGCUAAGUUAUAGCCUUUCAUAGACAACUUGUUGACUAUGAUCAGUCAUGUAGCUUACUCGCUUAUGCUAUUUUACCUACGCUUAGGAUGUUGAUCUGUAGUGCGUGCGC
RNAcentral lists this ribosomal RNA (775 nucleotides) under uncultured Neocallimastigales. RNAcentral describes it as "partial large subunit ribosomal RNA". It matches the Rfam family "Eukaryotic large subunit ribosomal RNA", at positions 24 to 632 of the family's 3401-position model. Lineage: Eukaryota; Fungi; Neocallimastigomycota; Neocallimastigomycetes; Neocallimastigales. The record is from RNAcentral.